UUUGCACUUUUGGGACUAUUCUGUUGGUGUCAUUGAACAAGGCAAACAGAAUCAGCUCAAGUAUUUAGAAGUAUUUGAUCCAGGUCUGUCUGGUGAUAGCUGGAGCUAUAUAGAGGGUGGUUGGCCAGUAGGGUACAUUCUAUGGUAGAUGGGAGUAGAAGUGGUUAGUAGGAACGUUCUAUGGUAGAUGGGAGUAGAGGUGGUUAGUAGGAACGUUCUAUGGUAGAUGGGAGUAGAGGUGGUUAGUAGGAACGUUCUAUGGUAGAUGGGAGUAGAGGUGGUUAGUAGGAACGUUCUAUGGUAGAUGGGAGUAGAGGUGGUUAGUUGGCCAGUAGGAACGUUCUAUGGUAGAUGGGAGUAGAGGUGGUUAGUAGGAACGUUCUAUGGUAGAUGGGAGUAGAGGUGGUUAGUUGGCCAGUAGGAACGUUCUAUGGUAGAUGGGAGUAGAGGUGGUUAGUUGACCAGUAGGAACGUUCUAUGUUAGAUGGGAGUAGAGGUGGUUAGUUGACCAGUAGGAACGUUCUAUGGUAGAUGGGAGUAGAGGUGGUUAGUUGGCCAGUAGGAACGUUCUAUGGUAGAUGGGAGUAGAGGUGGUUAGUUGGCCAGUAGGAACGUUCUAUGGUAGAUGGGAGUAGAGGUGGUUAGUUGACCAGUAGGAACGUUCUAUGGUAGAUGGGAGUAGAGGUGGUUAGUUGGACAGUAGGAACGUUCUAUGGUAGAUGGGAGUAGAGGUGGUUAGUUGGCCAGUAGGAACGUUCUAUGGUAGAUGGGAGUAGAGGUGGUUAGUUGACCAGUAGGAACGUUCUAUGGUAGAUGGGAGUAGAGGUGGUUAGUAGGAACGUUCUAUGGUAGGUGGGAGUAGAGGUGGUUAGUAGGAACGUUCUAUGGUAGAUGGGAGUAGAGGUGGUUAGUUGGCCAGUAGGAACGUUCUAUGGUAGAUGGGAGUAGAGGUGGUUAGUUGACCAGUAGGAACGUUCUAUGGUAGAUGGGAGUAGAGGUGGUUAGUAGGAACGUUCUAUGUUAGAUGGGUGUAGAGGUGGUUAGUUGACCAGUAGGAACGUUCUAUGGUAGAUGGGAGUAGAGGUGGUUAGUUGACCAGUAGGAACGUUCUAUGGUAGAUGGGAGUAGAGGUGGUUAGUAGGAACGUUCUAUGGUUGAUGGGAGUAGAGGUGGUUAGUUGGCCAGUAGGAACGUUCUAUGGUAGAUGGGAGUAGAGUUGGUUAGUUGACCAGUAGGAACGUUCUAUGGUAGAUGGGAGUAGAGGUGGUUAGUUGACCAGUAGGAACGUUCUAUGGUAGAUGAGAGUAGAGGUGGUUAGUUGGCCAGUAGGAACGUUCUAUGUUAGAUGGGUGUAGAGGUGGUUAGUAGAGUUAUUGGAUUUUAAUGAGUGGUAGAGGGAGGCACUGAGAGUGAACAGCAGCUAACCUAAAUAAUGUGACCCAGUAUAUGGAUGUGUCUUCCUAUUCCCUAUCUAGUGCACAACUUUAGACCAGAGCCCUAUUCCCUAUAUAGUGGUACUACUAUAGACCAGAGCCCUAUUCCCUAUAUAGCGGUACUACUAUAGACCAGAGCCCUAUUCCCUAUGUAGUGCACUACUUUUCACAAAAGCCCUAUGGGCCUGGUCAACGGUAGUGAACUAAUAGGGAAUAGGGUGACAUUUGGGACAAAGAUCCAAUCUAUGUAUUUAAAAAAUGAUGUUUUACUAAGAGAUGCUUCUUGACAUGAAUGAAAACUGAUAGACAUUCUGAUUAUGAACACGUGUCAUAAGGAGACCAGCAGUACAAGACUAGAUGACCACCAUGAUUCCUAGACCAGCAGUACAAAACUAGAUGACCACCAUGAUUCCUAGACCAGCAGUACUAGACUAGAUGACCACCAUGAUUCCUAGACCAGCAGUACAAGACUAGAUGACCACCAUGAUUCCUAGACCAGCAGUACUAGACUAGAUGACCACCAUGAUUCCUAGACCAGCAGUACAAGACUAGAUGACCACCAUGAUUCCCUAGACCAGCAGUACAAGACUAGAUGACCACCAUGAUUCCCUAGACCAGCAGUACAAGACUAGAUGACCACCAUGAUUCCCUAGACCAGCAGUACAAGACUAGAUGACCACCAUGAUUCCUAGACCAGCAGUACUAGACUAGAUGACCACCAUGAUUCCCUAGACCAGCAGUACAAGACUAGAUGACCACCAUGAUUCCCUAGACCAGCAGUACAAGACUAGAUGACCACCAUGAUUCCUAGACCAGCAGUACAAGACUAGAUGACCACCAUGAUUCCCUAGACCAGCAGUACAAGACUAGAUGACCACCAUGAUUCCUAGACCAGCAGUACAAGACUAGAUGACCACCAUGAUUCCUAGACCAGCAGUACAAGACUAGAUGACCACCAUGAUUCCUAGACCAGCAGUACAAGACUAGAUGACCACCAUGAUUCCUAGACCAGCAGUACAAGACUAGAUGACCACCAUGAUUCCUAGACCAGCAGUACAAGACUAGAUGACCACCAUGAUUCCUAUUGAAUCGUCUCUCGUCAGCAAUUCAUUUCAUAUUAUUUAUUUAUUUAUUUUCACAGUUUGAGAUUUCGUCAAAUAAAAUAAGUCAAUGAAUAUUCUCUGGUAUCUGACUGUGGGCUGCAUAGAAUAUAGUAUAGCAUCACAUUUACACUGGAUGCAUACAUGCAUAUUCAAGAGAAGUUAUUCCUUGAAGAGAAAUACCUAGAAUGUGUUGGUUAGUCUAUAUGUUGUUUACAUAUUUUAUGCUUUUACUCAUCUCAUAUGUAUAUACUGUAUUCUAUUCUACUGUAUUUUAAUCUAUGCCACUCUGACGUUGCUCAUCCUAAUACUUGUAUAUUCCUUAAUUCCAUUCUUUUACUUUUAAAAUUGUGUGUAUCGUUCGAUAUUAUUGCACUGUUGCACAAGCAUGUCACUACAACCGCAAUAACAUCUCCUCUACAUGUGUAUGUGAC
Non-coding RNA from Oncorhynchus mykiss (rainbow trout), 2967 nucleotides. The record is from RefSeq and is a predicted model, not a curated record. Lineage: Eukaryota; Metazoa; Chordata; Actinopteri; Salmoniformes; Salmonidae.